GGGUGACGAGUGGCGGACGGGUGAGUAAUGUCUGGGAAACUGCCCGGUGGAGGGGGAUAACUACUGGAAACGGUAGCUAAUACCGCAUAACGUCUUCGGACCAAAGUGGGGGACCUUAGGGCCUCACGCCACCGGAUGUGCCCAGAUGGGAUUAGCUAGUAGGUGGGGUAACGGCUCACCUAGGCGACGAUCCCUAGCUGGUCUGAGAGGAUGACCAGCCACACUGGAACUGAGACACGGUCCAGACU
Molecule: ribosomal RNA, 248 nt
Filed under: Pantoea sp. ICBG 1758
Lineage: Bacteria; Pseudomonadati; Pseudomonadota; Gammaproteobacteria; Enterobacterales; Erwiniaceae
Description: partial 16S ribosomal RNA
Rfam family: Bacterial small subunit ribosomal RNA
Source: RNAcentral